RNAcentral lists this ribosomal RNA (292 nucleotides) under uncultured bacterium. RNAcentral describes it as "partial 16S ribosomal RNA". The record is from RNAcentral.
GGACUACAGGGGUAUCUAAUCCUGUUCGCUCCCCACGCUUUCGCUCCUCAGCGUCAGUAUCGGCCCAGAGACCCGCCUUCGCCACCGGUGUUCCUCCUGAUAUCUGCGCAUUCCACCGCUACACCAGGAAUUCCAGUCUCCCCUACCGAACUCUAGCCUGCCCGUAUCGGCUGCAAGCCCACAGUUAAGCCAUGGGUUUUCACAGCCGACGCAACAAGCCGCCUACGAGCUCUUUACGCCCAAUAAUUCCGGACAACGCUCGCGCCCUACGUCUUACCGCGGCUGCUGGCAC